RNAcentral lists this ribosomal RNA (253 nucleotides) under uncultured bacterium. RNAcentral describes it as "partial 16S ribosomal RNA". It matches the Rfam family "Bacterial small subunit ribosomal RNA", at positions 524 to 776 of the family's 1533-position model. The record is from RNAcentral.
UACGUAGGUGGCAAGCGUUAUCCGGAUUUAUUGGGCGUAAAGAGAACGCAGGCGGUCUUUUAAGUCUGAUGUGAAAGCCUUCGGCUUAACCGGAGUAGUGCAUUGGAAACUGGGAGACUUGAGUGCAGAAGAGGAGAGUGGAACUCCAUGUGUAGCGGUGAAAUGCGUAGAUACAUGGAAGAACACCAGUGGCGAAAGCGGCUCUCUGGUCUGUAACUGACGCUGAGGUUCGAAAGCGUGGGUAGCAAACAGG